RNAcentral lists this ribosomal RNA (245 nucleotides) under uncultured bacterium. RNAcentral's name for it is "partial 16S ribosomal RNA". It matches the Rfam family "Bacterial small subunit ribosomal RNA", at positions 524 to 768 of the family's 1533-position model. The record is from RNAcentral.
UACGUAAGGGGCGAGCGUUGCUCGGAAUUACUGGGCGUAAAGGGCGUGCAGGCGGACAAAUAAGUCGAAUGUAAAAGACCGCAGCUUAACUGCGGGCCUGCGUUCGAAACUAUCUGUCUUGAGUCUGGUGGAGGGCAAUAGAAUUCCCGGUGUAGCGGUGAAAUGCGUAGAUAUCGGGAAGAAUACCGAAGGCUAAAGCAGUUGCCUAUGCCAAGACUGACGCUGAGGCGCGAAAGCAUGGGGAU